Molecule: long non-coding RNA, 411 nt
Organism: Oncorhynchus kisutch (coho salmon)
Lineage: Eukaryota; Metazoa; Chordata; Actinopteri; Salmoniformes; Salmonidae
Exons: 3
Source: RefSeq, a predicted model, not a curated record
UUUUCCGUUUGCACCAGACAAGCUGGGCAGGAAGUUAGGGUCUUUCUAUCGACCGAGAGUCGGCUGGAUCGAGUGCUUUAGGGUUGUCCUGAUGUCGGGUGUAGCUUGUCAAUCAUUUUAAAGCAUGGAAGCACUCACUGACGUCAAUGAGAACAGACCACUGGUCAGUGUCCACGACUCCUCUUGAUCUUUGUGGCUGUGAGCAAGCCUCCUGUUCCUGAGAAGUUAAAGAAUCCCAUGUUGGCUGUUCCGCCCACAACCCAGAGGCCCAAGAGGAGCGCCUCUCCCUCUGCAGACAGGACCCACCAGAGAGAGAGCCUUGGAACCACCAAGAGUCUUCCUAGAGCUGGCCACCCGGCCAAACUGACCAAUCGGGGGAGAACGGCCUUGGUCAGGGAAGUGACCAAGAAC